CGGGUCACCAGGCCUGAGGAGGAAUGUUGCGUAAAGGGAAAGGCCGCAGUUAAGCCCUUCAGCCACGCGUACCCUAAGUGUGCCUCGAAUAGGCAAGCCCAACUAACGGAGGGUUUUGUCUCCACGGAGGGUGUCAGACCCGUGUGGGCGCGUGCAGAUGCUGAAUGGGUGCGGCUUGUGUUCCCUGAGAGUCGCGUUGCUUGGGAAUGCAGCGCUAAGCAGGUCGUAAACUCGAUCUAAGGCUAAAUAUCUCCACAGGACCGAUAGUGAACAAGUACCGUGAGGGAAAGUUGAAAAGGACUCUGAAGAGAGAGUCAAAAGACCGUGAAACCGCUCACAGUAUAAGCCGAUGGAGUCUGGAAGGCAUUCGGUAAAGGUGCUCACCCAUUAGGGUGGAAGUGAAUACAUUUGGUCCAAUGACUAAGGUUCGCCUGGUGUGUGAGCAAAACGCACCUACGUGCAUGUUUUCAGUAUCGAGAAACUGUUGAAUCUCGUUAUCUGUCAGCAAAAGCGCGGGCGCUCAAAGUCUGCUGGACUUAGCCGAAAUUGCCCACCACGACACGUUGUGAGGUCACCCGCAGGCUCUCCAGAUGCCGUUGCGAUAUUCUUGUCCUGGGGUCCAGAUUCGUGUCGGAGAUGAUCCAAUGAAGAGGAUAGAAUCCUCACUUGGAUUGACACGAGAACUCGAGGGCUUGAAACGGGCGGUAGUCAGAGGUAAACCUGGUAUGAUCCUCUUACGACGAGUUGAUAUCUGGUCAGUAAGUUGCGCACGCGUACUCUCAUGUGCCGAGAGGACGAGCAAAAAAUGCAAGUCGUAUGUACCCUCUGGUAGUUGAACCAAGGUCUCGACU
Molecule: ribosomal RNA, 851 nt
Filed under: Bogidielloidea gen. sp. 1 AGC-2020
Lineage: Eukaryota; Metazoa; Arthropoda; Malacostraca; Amphipoda
Description: partial large subunit ribosomal RNA
Rfam family: Eukaryotic large subunit ribosomal RNA
Source: RNAcentral